AACGAACGCUGGCGGCGUGGAUAAGACAUGCAAGUCGAACGGGAUUUUUUUCUGUAGCAAUACAGGAAAAAGUCUAGUGGCGAACGGGUGCGUAACACGUGAGCAACCUGCCGUGAAGUGGGGGAUAGCUCGCCGAAAGGCGAAUUAAUACCGCAUGUGGCCAAGGAAGACAUCUUCCUGACGCCAAAGCCGGGGCAACCUGGCGCUUCUCGAGGGGCUCGCGGCCUAUCAGCUUGUUGGUGAGGUAACGGCUCACCAAGGCUAUGACGGGUAGCUGGUCUGAGAGGACGACCAGCCACACUGGAACUGAGACACGGUCCAGACACCUACGGGUGGCAGCAGUCGAGAAUUUUUCACAAUGGGGGAAACCCUGAUGGAGCGACGCCGCGUGGAGGAUGAAGGUUUUCGGAUUGUAAACUCCUGUCAUUAGAGAACAAGGCACACGGUUUAACUGACCGUGUGUUGAUAGUAUCUGAAGAGGAAGAGACGGCUAACUCUGUGCCAGCAGCCGCCGUAA
Molecule: ribosomal RNA, 517 nt
Filed under: uncultured bacterium
Lineage: Bacteria
Description: partial 16S ribosomal RNA
Rfam family: Bacterial small subunit ribosomal RNA
Source: RNAcentral